GAUGAAGAACGCAGCGAAAUGCGAUACGUAAUGUGAAUUGCAGAAUUCAGUGAAUCAUCGAAUCUUUGAACGCAUAUUGCGCUCUCUGGUAUUCCGGAGAGCAUGCUUGUUUGAGUAUCAGUAAACACCUCAACUUCCAUAUCUUUUUUGAAAUGGGAGUUGGACUUGAGUGAUCCCAACGCUUUUCCUCACCGAAAAGUGGCGGGUUGCUUGAAAUGCAGGUGCAGCUGAACUUUUCUCUGAGCUAUAAGCAUAUCUAUUUAGUCUGCCUAAAAAACAGAUUAUUACCUUUGCUGCAGCUAACAUAAAGGAGACUAGUUCUUGUGCUGACUGAUGCAGGAUUCACAGAGACAGCUUCGGCUGACUUUGUAAACUCGAUCUCAAAUCAAGUAAGACUACCCGCUGAACUUAAGCAUAUCAAUAAGCGGAGGA
RNAcentral lists this unclassified non-coding RNA (432 nucleotides) under soil metagenome. RNAcentral's name for it is "partial contains 5.8S ribosomal RNA, internal transcribed spacer 2, and large subunit ribosomal RNA". The stretch from base 1 to 120 matches the Rfam family "5.8S ribosomal RNA", at positions 35 to 154 of the family's 154-position model. The record is from RNAcentral.